GAUGAAGAACGUAGCGAAAUGCGAUAAGUAAUGUGAAUUGCAGAAUUCAGUGAAUCAUCGAAUCUUUGAACGCACAUUGCGCCCGUCAGUAUUCUGGCGGGCAUGCCUGUUCGAGCGUCAUUACGCCCCUCAAGUCCCCUGUGGACUUGGUGUUGGGGAUCGGCGAGGCUGGUUUUCCAGCACAGCCGUCCCUUAAAUUAAUUGGCGGUCUCGCCGUGGCCCUCCUCUGCGCAGAAGUAAAACACUCGCAACAGGAGCCCGGCGCGGUCCACUGCCGUAAAACCCCCCAACUUUUUAUAGUUGACCUCGAAUCAGGUAGGACUACCCGCUGAACUUAAGCAUAUCAAUAAGCGGAGGA
RNAcentral lists this unclassified non-coding RNA (358 nucleotides) under soil metagenome. RNAcentral describes it as "partial contains 5.8S ribosomal RNA, internal transcribed spacer 2, and large subunit ribosomal RNA". The stretch from base 1 to 120 matches the Rfam family "5.8S ribosomal RNA", at positions 35 to 154 of the family's 154-position model. The record is from RNAcentral.